Molecule: long non-coding RNA, 353 nt
Filed under: Monodelphis domestica (gray short-tailed opossum)
Lineage: Eukaryota; Metazoa; Chordata; Mammalia; Didelphimorphia; Didelphidae
Description: lncRNA (ENSMODG00000036339.2)
Source: RNAcentral
CAGUUGGACCUCUCUCCUGACCUGAAAAAGGAGCAGACUUAGUCUGAACUUCACAAUGAAGCUGGUCACAGUUCUUUUCCUCUUCUCCUUUAUCCUGUGUGUCAACAGUGCUAAAAGUUCUAUACCAACUCCAGUUGAAAGUUUGGAAAUGGUUGAAAAAGGUGUUAAUGGACUGUGCUUGAACUAUUGUGAAUUGGUGGAAUCAGGAGAAGCAAAAGAUGGCUUUUUCUCACUUUUGGAGGUAUGAAAUGGAAUAUGUUUCUGACAGUGAAACAGAUAUGGGCAUUCUAGUGAACCUCAGAGGUGGAGAAAACUGGGUAUAAUCCCAUUAUAAACAGUGCAGUUACACUUUG